This 398-nucleotide ribosomal RNA is filed under the name Anaerobacillus alkalidiazotrophicus. RNAcentral's name for it is "bacterial SSU rRNA". It matches the Rfam family "Bacterial small subunit ribosomal RNA", at positions 1 to 388 of the family's 1533-position model. The record is from RNAcentral. Lineage: Bacteria; Bacillati; Bacillota; Bacilli; Caryophanales; Bacillaceae.
UUUUAUGGAGAGUUUGAUCCUGGCUCAGGACGAACGCUGGCGGCGUGCCUAAUACAUGCAAGUCGAGCGAAUGGAUGGGAGCUUGCUCCCUGAAAUUAGCGGCGGACGGGUGAGUAACACGUGGGCAACCUGCCCUGUAGACUGGGAUAACUUCGGGAAACCGAAGCUAAUACCGGAUAAUCUUUGGAGCCUCAUGGUUCUAAAGUGAAAGUUGGGUUUACCUAACACUACAGGAUGGGCCCGCGUCGCAUUAGCUAGUUGGUAAGGUAACGGCUUACCAAGGCGACGAUGCGUAGCCGACCUGAGAGGGUGAUCGGCCACACUGGGACUGAGACACGGCCCAGACUCCUACGGGAGGCAGCAGUAGGGAAUCUUCCGCAAUGGACGAAAGUCUGACG